RNAcentral lists this non-coding RNA (30 nucleotides) under Rattus norvegicus (Norway rat). The record is from RNAcentral. Lineage: Eukaryota; Metazoa; Chordata; Mammalia; Rodentia; Muridae.
UAGUGUCACCCACACAGGAUGGAACUGCUA